UACAGAGGUCCCAAGCGUUGUUCGGAUUCACUGGGCGUAAAGGGUGCGCAGGUGGGUUUGCAAGUUCGAUGUGAAAGCCCCGGGCUUAACCCGGGAAUGGCAUUGGAUACUGCAGAUCUGGAGGAUCGGAGGGGGGACUGGAAUUCUUGGUGUAGCAGUGAAAUGCGAAGAUAUCAAGAGGAACACCAGUGGCGAAGGCGAGUCCCUGGACGAUACCUGACACUGAGGCACGAAAGCGUGGGGAGCAAACAGG
RNAcentral lists this ribosomal RNA (253 nucleotides) under uncultured bacterium. Its description in RNAcentral is "partial 16S ribosomal RNA". It matches the Rfam family "Bacterial small subunit ribosomal RNA", at positions 524 to 776 of the family's 1533-position model. The record is from RNAcentral.